This 253-nucleotide ribosomal RNA is filed under the name uncultured bacterium. RNAcentral describes it as "partial 16S ribosomal RNA". It matches the Rfam family "Bacterial small subunit ribosomal RNA", at positions 524 to 776 of the family's 1533-position model. The record is from RNAcentral.
UACGAAGGGGGCGAGCGUUGUUCGGAAUCACUGGGCGUAAAGGGCGCGUAGGCGGCCCUCUUAGUCGCGUGUGAAAGCCCCGGGCUCAACCUGGGAACGGCGCGCGAAACGGGAGGGCUGGAGUUCGGGAGAGGAGAGUGGAAUUCCCAGUGUAGAGGUGAAAUUCGUAGAUAUUGGGAAGAACACCGGUGGCGAAGGCGGCGACCUGGUCCGAUACUGACGCUGAGGCGCGAAAGCGUGAGGAGCAAACAGG